Molecule: ribosomal RNA, 1417 nt
Filed under: Klebsiella pneumoniae
Lineage: Bacteria; Pseudomonadati; Pseudomonadota; Gammaproteobacteria; Enterobacterales; Enterobacteriaceae
Description: bacterial SSU rRNA
Rfam family: Bacterial small subunit ribosomal RNA
Source: RNAcentral
ACACAUGCAGUCGAGCGGUAGCACAGAGAGCUUGCUCUCGGGUGACGAGCGGCGGACGGGUGAGUAAUGUCUGGGAAACUGCCUGAUGGAGGGGGAUAACUACUGGAAACGGUAGCUAAUACCGCAUAAUGUCGCAAGACCAAAGUGGGGGACCUUCGGGCCUCAUGCCAUCAGAUGUGCCCAGAUGGGAUUAGCUAGUAGGUGGGGUAACGGCUCACCUAGGCGACGAUCCCUAGCUGGUCUGAGAGGAUGACCAGCCACACUGGAACUGAGACACGGUCCAGACUCCUACGGGAGGCAGCAGUGGGGAAUAUUGCACAAUGGGCGCAAGCCUGAUGCAGCCAUGCCGCGUGUGUGAAGAAGGCCUUCGGGUUGUAAAGCACUUUCAGCGGGGAGGAAGGCGUUAAGGUUAAUAACCUUAUCGAUUGACGUUACCCGCAGAAGAAGCACCGGCUAACUCCGUGCCAGCAGCCGCGGUAAUACGGAGGGUGCAAGCGUUAAUCGGAAUUACUGGGCGUAAAGCGCACGCAGGCGGUCUGUCAAGUCGGAUGUGAAAUCCCCGGGCUCAACCUGGGAACUGCAUUCGAAACUGGCAGGCUAGAGUCUUGUAGAGGGGGGUAGAAUUCCAGGUGUAGCGGUGAAAUGCGUAGAGAUCUGGAGGAAUACCGGUGGCGAAGGCGGCCCCCUGGACAAAGACUGACGCUCAGGUGCGAAAGCGUGGGGAGCAAACAGGAUUAGAUACCCUGGUAGUCCACGCCGUAACGAUGUCGAUUUGGAGGUUGUGCCCUUGAGGCGUGGCUUCCGGAGCUAACGCGUUAAAUCGACCGCCUGGGGAGUACGGCCGCAAGGUUAAAACUCAAAUGAAUUGACGGGGGCCCGCACAAGCGGUGGAGCAUGUGGUUUAAUUCGAUGCAACGCGAAGAACCUUACCUGGUCUUGACAUCCACAGAACUUUCCAGAGAUGGAUUGGUGCCUUCGGGAACUGUGAGACAGGUGCUGCAUGGCUGUCGUCAGCUCGUGUUGUGAAAUGUUGGGUUAAGUCCCGCAACGAGCGCAACCCUUAUCCUUUGUUGCCAGCGGUCCGGCCGGGAACUCAAAGGAGACUGCCAGUGAUAAACUGGAGGAAGGUGGGGAUGACGUCAAGUCAUCAUGGCCCUUACGACCAGGGCUACACACGUGCUACAAUGGCAUAUACAAAGAGAAGCGACCUCGCGAGAGCAAGCGGACCUCAUAAAGUAUGUCGUAGUCCGGAUUGGAGUCUGCAACUCGACUCCAUGAAGUCGGAAUCGCUAGUAAUCGUAGAUCAGAAUGCUACGGUGAAUACGUUCCCGGGCCUUGUACACACCGCCCGUCACACCAUGGGAGUGGGUUGCAAAAGAAGUAGGUAGCUUAACCUUCGGGAGGGCGCUACCACUUU